RNAcentral lists this ribosomal RNA (253 nucleotides) under uncultured bacterium. RNAcentral's name for it is "partial 16S ribosomal RNA". It matches the Rfam family "Bacterial small subunit ribosomal RNA", at positions 524 to 776 of the family's 1533-position model. The record is from RNAcentral.
AACGUAGGACGCGAGCGUUAUCCGGAGUUACUGGGCGUAAAGCGCGGGCAGGCGGUCUGACAAGUCUGAUGUGAAAUCACCCAGCUUAACUGGGCGAGGCCAUUGGAAACUGACAGGCUGGAGGGCAGUAGAGGUAGGCGGAAUUCCGGGUGUAGUGGUGAAAUGCGUAGAGAUCCGGAGGAACACCAGUGGCGAAGGCGACACGCUGGGCCAUACCUGACGCUAAAGCGCGACAGCAUGGGGAGCAAACGGG